UAUAUUCGUGCUUGGUUUCUCGGGUUGAGGGUUGGAGCUCGAAGCUUCUUCGUUCGGACCUAUGUUGGGUGGAACUACAGUAAGGGGGGUUACCCAAAUUGGGGAAGUCUGGUUCGUAUUAAUGACCACCAUUGUUGACAAUUUGCAGAGAAUAGAAGAAAAUUUUCUGGAGAGAAGAAGAGAGCUCAAAGGUUCGAAAUUCA
This 203-nucleotide long non-coding RNA is filed under the name Panax ginseng (ginseng). Its description in RNAcentral is "long non-coding RNA (PGIN_LNC013081)". Lineage: Eukaryota; Viridiplantae; Streptophyta; Magnoliopsida; Apiales; Araliaceae. The record is from RNAcentral.